GGGCGCAUAGCUCAGUUGGCUAGAGCAUCUCGUUUACACCGAGAGGGUCGGGGGUUCGAGUCCCUCUGCGCCCACCA
RNAcentral lists this transfer RNA (77 nucleotides) under Acidimicrobiaceae bacterium. Its description in RNAcentral is "tRNA-Val". It matches the Rfam family "tRNA". From Rfam's summary of the family: Transfer RNA (tRNA) molecules are approximately 80 nucleotides in length. Their secondary structure includes four short double-helical elements and three loops (D, anti-codon, and T loops). The record is from RNAcentral. Lineage: Bacteria; Bacillati; Actinomycetota; Acidimicrobiia; Acidimicrobiales; Acidimicrobiaceae.